GCCUCGUUAGCUUAGCCCGGCAAAAGCACUGGAUUGUCGAUCCAGGGAUCACGAGUUCGAAUCUCGUACGAGGCGCCA
This 78-nucleotide transfer RNA is filed under the name Gammaproteobacteria bacterium. RNAcentral's name for it is "tRNA-Asp". It matches the Rfam family "tRNA". From Rfam's summary of the family: Transfer RNA (tRNA) molecules are approximately 80 nucleotides in length. Their secondary structure includes four short double-helical elements and three loops (D, anti-codon, and T loops). The record is from RNAcentral. Lineage: Bacteria; Pseudomonadati; Pseudomonadota; Gammaproteobacteria.